GGGAAUUUUUCGCAAUGGGGGAAAACCUGACGGAGCAAGACCGCGUGGGGGAGGAAAGCCUUUGGGUUGUAAACCCCUUUUUUCAGGGAAGAAGAAAGUGACGGUACCUGAGGAAUCAGCCUCGGCUAACUCCGUGCCAGCAGCCGCGGUAAUACGGAGGAGGCAAGCGUUAUCCGGAAUUAUUGGGCGUAAAGCGUCCGCAGGUGGCUCAUCAAGUCUGCUGUUAAAUCCCGGGGCUUAACUCCGGAGGGGCAGUGGAAACUGAUGAGCUAGAGUGCGGUAGGGGCAGAGGGAAUUCCCGGUGUAGCGGUGAAAUGCGUAGAGAUCGGGAAGAACACCGGUGGCGAAAGCGCUCUGCUGGGCCGCAACUGAC
Molecule: ribosomal RNA, 373 nt
Filed under: Oscillatoriales cyanobacterium DKZ 1015 20
Lineage: Bacteria; Bacillati; Cyanobacteriota; Cyanophyceae; Oscillatoriales
Description: bacterial SSU rRNA
Rfam family: Bacterial small subunit ribosomal RNA
Source: RNAcentral